UACGGGGGAGCAAGCGUUGUUCGGAUUUACUGGGCGUAAAGGGCGCGUAGGCGGUCAGCACAAGUCAGUUGUGAAAUCUCCGGGCUUAACUCGGAAAGGUCAACUGAUACUGUGCGACUAGAGUGCAGAAGGGCAACUGGAAUUCUCGGUGUAGCGGUGAAAUGCGUAGAUAUCAGGAGGAACACCAAUUGCGAAGGCAGCUCGCUGGGACGUUACUGACGCUGAGACGCGAAAGCGUGGGGAGCAAACAGG
RNAcentral lists this ribosomal RNA (252 nucleotides) under uncultured bacterium. RNAcentral's name for it is "partial 16S ribosomal RNA". It matches the Rfam family "Bacterial small subunit ribosomal RNA", at positions 524 to 776 of the family's 1533-position model. The record is from RNAcentral.